RNAcentral lists this microRNA precursor (82 nucleotides) under Equus caballus (horse). RNAcentral describes it as "mir-1302 microRNA precursor family". It matches the Rfam family "mir-1302 microRNA precursor family". The record is from Rfam by way of RNAcentral. Lineage: Eukaryota; Metazoa; Chordata; Mammalia; Perissodactyla; Equidae.
UUUUUAGUAUAAGUAUGUCCCAUGCAAUUGUAGGGUCUGAGGAAUGUCAUAAGGCCAUAUUUGAGACAUAUUUAUACUAAAA